AAAUAAUACAAUUCAAACGGAUUUUAUCGACAACAGAUUCUAAUAAGCAGUGAGUUUGUUUAAAAUCUUUUUAAAACUUAUUUUAUAAUUGUCUUUUCAAAUUUAUCAUCAAAGUAUUCAAACUAGCUAUUUUGAAUAUGCUUUUUCGUUUAUCUACAAACCAUAGCUAACUCAUUAUUCACAUACUUUUUUUUAUAAAUAAAUAUUGCGUGUGAAAUGUGAAGUAUAGAUGCAUGCUCAAUUAAUUAAUAUUCACGCAAUUACUACCUCCUGAUACUUAACUUGAGUUAUCGUAUAAAAACCAAAGCUUCUCAAGUCUCCGCCAAAGAAAAACUCACUGCGCAGCUGUUGUACUAUCGGAAGUGUAUAGAUAUGUAUCAAUGUUUGACAUUGGACAUAAGAUUAGCGGUUAGCAUGUGAUUAGAGUAAGGAACAGUGGAAAUAGUAAAUGAUCAAAUGAAAUAUUUGCAUGUUGGCUGUUUCGAAAGACGCUGCGUUAGAAUUUAUCUGUAUAAGUCUUAAACAUGAAAAGUAAUUGCUACAAAACGAAAGGAGACCUAUACUGAUGCACCAGAAUACAAAGUACAUGUAAACCACAGAAAAGUAAAGACUGGGCAACACUAGCCCUAUGAAACCCGGGGUUGAUCCAAUGUUUCACAGACAGGAAAAAACUCUUAUAUGUUAUUGGGAAGCUGAAAUUCCAGAUUUUCAUAAUUUUCACACGUUUAAGAAGUAAGACAGGUCGGCUUUUUUUCGUUAAAUCAUACUUUCGUAUCAAUUGUUCACGUUUAACAAUAUUAGAUAGAUGUUUAACAACAAUCGUUCAAUCAAUAAUUUUCAAUAGAUAGAAAGCUAUUUAUUAACCUCUUUCAGUUCAUUUCAAUAAUAAUCAAAUUAAUAAAGAAAGUAAAACUGAAGCAUUUAAGAGAAAAACAAAUUCCACCUCAUUUUUGCACCUGUCCUAUAUUAAGAGCCUCUGGCCUUGGUCAGUCUUGUAUGCUUGUUAAUGUUAGUUUCUUAUGUAUAAUUUUGAGUUUAGUAUGAUGUCCAUUAUCCCUGAACUAGUAUACAUAUCUGUUUUGGGGCCAGCUGUAGGACGCCUCCGGGUGUGGGAGUUUCUCGCUGUAUUGGAAAGUAAAAUCACAAAAAUACUGAACUCCGAGGAAAAUUCAAAAAAGGAAAGUCACCAAUCAAAUGGCAAAAUCAAAAGUUCAAACACAUAACACGAAUGGAUAACAACUGUCAUAUUCCUGUCUUGGUACAGGCAUUUUCUUAUGUAGAAAAUGGUGGAUUGAAUCUGGUUUUAUAGCUAGCUAAUCCUCUCACUUGUAUGACAGUCGCAUCAAAUUCCAUUAUAUUGCAACAUUAAAUUCAAAUUUGUUACAAAAUGCAAAUACGAAUCUUACAGGUAUGGAGUUCAUGACAACUGCAUCCAAUUGGGACUUCACCACAACUCCAUACUAUUUGAACUGUACUAAAGCUGGGGCAUCGCUCAUAAACAACACCAUCACAACACCAUUUGAGAGUUUGGAAACUACGACAUAUAAUUAUUAUCAUGAUUAUGGUAAAUGUUACUAUAAAUUAAGACAUACAUUAAAACUCAAAAAGCUCAGGGUGAAAGCAAUGAUUCAUGAGUAUUCCUAUUCUGUUAUUUUGUAGCAUAGGGAUGUUUAUGUUUAAGUUAGUAUUUGAAAAAUAAGAAAUACAAUAAGCUGAAAACAGAUUAUAUUUUCUGAACAAGAAACGAUUAACUAAAGGUACUAUGAAAAUAUCAAACUAAAAAACCAAGAAAAACUGUCAACGCAAUGACGAAAAUCGUAACACGACGAAAAGACGAACACAUAAUAACAACACAUAGAAAACGUAAGAUCGAGAAACACAACAUGCACCCAGAAAUAAACGGGAAUGAAAAGUGAAAGAAUACAAAAAUACUUUGGUGGUAAAUCGUGUACGCAACGGUUAAUACUUAUAUUUCCUCAAACUAUAUCUUGUCCUUCAUUAUGGUCAUAAAAGGAGUUUGUAUUAAAUAGACUGGAUUGGAUAUCUUCUCCUAGCGCACAUUGUUUUAUUCGUAGAUGAUUAAUUGUAAACUUAACAAACCACUGCACAAAAAAAUCCGUGUAUCCGUUUGAAUUGUUUUACAUUGUCAUAUCGGGGCCUUUUAUAGCUGACUAUGCGUAUGGGUUUGCUCAUUUUUGAAGGCCGUACGGUUACCCAUAGUUAUUAAUGUCUGUGUCGUUUUGGUCUGUUGAUGAAAGUUGUCUCAUUGGCAAUCAUACUACAUCUUCUUUUUAUAUUAAAGAAAAUCUGCAAUACAGCGAUUCUUUAAAAGUCGUAAUGCAAAAUAUUUACAGAAAAAACAACGGUUUACCUAUGAAUAUAGAUUUUUGGAAACUUUUAUAUGAAUUGUUAAUUAACAUGGAUUAUCAUAUAAUACAAAUAUGCGCAAUAUAUGCCCGAUAACCCUGUGUUCAAUAUGCCAGACUUAUUUUUCUUCCUUCUGGUCUUGGUUAAAACAAUAUAUUUAAUUGAAGUCAAAACGCCUAUCAUCCUGAAGAUAGUCAAAUGGUUGUUCCCUUGUAUGUUUGUAAUAUGGAAAGUUUCACGGCCUAUCAGAUUCAAGGCGGAAAAGGUCUCAAUCUUCAAUAAAUAGUAAAAAUAUAUUUUCAGAUGCACUAUCAACGUCCAGUGAAACUAUCAAAAUAAUCAGUAUGGUUUGUGCUAUUUUUGGUAUGGUUAUGUUAAUAAUUUUGUAUGCGGCUGCCUACCGAAUGUGCUGCUCUGGAAAACAACCUUAUCAUGAUUCGUGCAUUAAGGGAACUAUCCAUGUCAUACUGACUUUGUUAACAUAUGUCCUGUACCUGUUUGAUACUCUGUCGGAUGUGUUCCUGUUCCUACACUACAUUUCGAUUGGACAAACUUCAAAGUUUCUAUUGGUGAUGGCCUUUACCUUCGCACCAGUUCUCUUUCUAGCAUUUAUUUUCUUUGCAAAACAUCACGAAAAAUUAGAAUGCGACUAUAAGGAUCUAUCAUGUAGAGAGCAAAUGUGUUUCCAGAUGUUUGGUUUGGUGUUAGUUCUCGUGUGUAGUCCAUUUGCUGCAUUGUUACCAACAUACACGUACGUAUUUUAAUGAAAAUACAUUUUUUCUAUAACGAAACCUGAUUUAUUUCACACACGUUCUGAUACCAUUCCAACUAUAGAGGUUGGUCUGGUAAUAUUUUCCGUGUCAAUUAUCAUUUUUAGGGUGUAAAACAAACAGCUAAUAGUGUAAACCUGCCGAAUAGCAGCUAACGAAUAAACCAAACAUAUAUAAUGUGUCUAACAGCUAGUAUUUUACAAUAUAGAUGUAGUAGCUUUAGAAAAUUUAAUAAUCACACAGAAUCUGUGCAUUUUUUUUCAAAUAUGAUAUUGCCCUUUGCAAAUCGUCGAACUAAAACGUGUCAAGGACCAUACGAAAUGUGCAAUAUUGUACAACAGGUUUAUGUGACCUCCUUUAACAUUUUAGGUAAUACGAUUGGUUAAGAAAUAAUAAAUGGUAGCCGUACAUUUGUUUUCAUUUUCAAGGGUUGGGCAUUUAUACUCGACUAAUUUACCCUGAGCGUUAUCAAAUGGGUAAAAUAUGAUUAUAAACACCCAGUCUAUAGUUAAAUGAAAACAAAUCUACGGCUGCAUGCCAUGCAUUAUUUCGAUACUAAUGGGACAAAUUCGAUAGUUUUGUUUGCACCCAUAUGCUAAUAUAAGUAAUAUUAUAUAAUUCAAUAAUAUAUUUUUUAAUUUCAUUUACCACCAAUAUGUAUGUUCUUUUAAUGUAAUAUUAUUGCAUUAUGAGGCACCCACGAAGCUUAUGGUGUUUAAAUCUGUUUUUUGUUUAUGGAAACAUUAAUAUGACGUCACCUUGUGUCGUUGCCAUGUAAACACGAUAACAUCAUUUCGCAGAAUUUUCGAUUUAUGAAAUUUUACCACAGAAAAUAAAUUAAUCGUAUUUUGCUAUAGAAUAGAGAUAAAUAUAUUGUAUUUGAAAUUUGGCCUAAGUAAACUGUGGGUUUUGAUGUCGAAAAUUGAGAAUACCUGGCAAUAUAAUUAAGCUGGACGUAACGCGGAAUAGCCAGUUGUGUGUUUGUAUACGCGUGCACUAAAAGUAGAUAUACCGUAUACAGACUAGUUGACGAUAAUAGGUCGUCAUAUUAGAAUUUAAAAAAUCGCAUGGAGAUUGUGAUUAUUCCAUAGUACGUAGUAGAUAAGGCAUUUUUCAAUACACGUUUAAUAGUGGGAUUACGUCUCUUUAAAAAAACAAGCAAGAUGUUUAUAGUUAUCUUUAAGGUAUCAAUAGACAAAGAAAUACAUCGAUAUUGAUGAUUAAAUUAAAUUCAUAAAACACAUGUAAAGCUUAUAAGUUGCUAUUGGUGGCAUUAUUUUUGUAUCCAGACCAAUGCACGUAAGUUAUUUAUGCUAACGAUAUUUAAGACCUUGCUCAUUUUUAUAGGCCACUAGCUAAAUACUAAGUACCAAAUGUUAGGAAAGUCAAUAAGAUAAAUUCGUUACUUAGUGUGAUGAUGACCUAAUACGAUAUAUAUGGGGUCAGUAAAUGCAAUAUGAGAUGUACAAACCCAUGUAGUUAUAGCGUAUGAAGUCACAAGCACGCUAUUUACAUAUAAAUAAUAUUAUCGCUAUUUUGUGCAUUUUUUCUUAAAUCUUUUUUAGUGAUAAUGUUUCAUAUCAUUCUACUCGCUUGAGACUGAAGUUAUCGCUAGAAAUUAAGAUGACACGUAGUGUUGCUAAUAAAAUUGACAUGAAAUUGACAACGUCGUUAUAGGUAAAAUAGCGAUAAACAGAUUAUCAUUGGUCAUCUCGACUCGACUACCUUUCGCGAUUUCGCCGUACCGGUUCAAGCGAGAAAAUCAAUCUCGUUGAGAUGAUCAACGAUAAUCUAGAUAUAGGAAGACGUGGUGUGAGUGCCAAUGAGACAACUCUCCAUCCAAAUAACAAUUUUAAAAAAGUAAACCAUUAUAGGUCAAUGUACGGCCUUCAACACGGAGCCUUUGCUCACACCGAACAACACGCUAUAAAGGGCCCCAAAAUUAAUAGUGUUCAAUCAUUCAAACGGGAAAACCAACGGUCUAAUCUAUAUAAAUUAAAAAAACGAGAUACGAGAAACACGUAUAAAUUACAUAAACAAACGACAACUACUGUACAUCAGAUUCCUGACUUAGGACAGGUGCAAACAUUUGCAGCGGGAUUAAACGUUUUAAUGGAUCCAAACCUUCUCCCUUUUCUGAAACAAUAGCAUAAAAUCACAACAUAGAAAAAGACACGGAAAAAAAAUUCAAUUGGCAGGCUUAACUCAAUCAAAAAACGUACAUUAAUACAUUAUAAACGAAUAAAUUUGAUCUGCGUAUAUAUCAUUGUUGAGUUUGCUGGUUAGAACGAAUAAUUUAGGUCAGACUUUUUUUUGAAUUAUACGAAAUACUAUAUCUAAUCUUCUGAUUUAUAAAUAUCUAAGUAGCCCAGGUCUCAUGCUUACGGACCACUGUAUUUCAACAGCCUCACUUGACCAGGCAAAAAGCAAAUGAGUUUAUACUAACAAUAGUUUUACAUACAUAUAUUUUUUUUUAAAUAGCCAAUACAAUUGAUUUUACCUGAUAAGCAUCACUGUAUAAUCACUGGUAUAAAAGAGAUAAUCGUAACUGCAAUUACGACUAUCCCAAUAUGGCGACGGCAGAUAUAGAUAAAAUCUUUACAGUCAUUUUUUUCUCAAAUGUAGCAUGUUUUUUACUCAGCUGCAAGGUUUCCAUACCAUUACAUCAUUUUUUAAUCGUAACGGUGCACUGAAACUGUUUAAGCGCUUUGAAAAUUGCCGUUGAAAAAUUCGGGAUGAUAAUUGUAACUCGGAAAAAAGAUAAUCGUAAUUAUGGUAUUAAAAAAGGAAAAGAUAAUCGUAACUGGAAAGCGUUUUAUUGAUAUUAUAAAAAUGACAAUACAAACGUAUAUCUGAUAGCAUAUGAUGAAAUUAUGGCGAUGAAUUAAUUACGAAACGUUUCAACAUCUCUUGACAUUUCUUUUUAUGCAUAUAUUAUUAAUAGUUCUAAUCAAAACAGCUACAUACUAGUAUACCAUAAAAUUGGAAGGGUGAACAAUCUUGAAGGAAUUUGGAAAUUGGGAAAACACGAACUAUGUUAACAUACGGAAAUUUCCAAGAACUAGGGAUGUCACAAAAUAUGGGAAUGAGCGAAGAGGCAAUUUUAAAGGAACUUAUGAUAUAUGGCAAUAAUUGUCAGGCGAAACGCAUGUGUCACCCUCCAUCAGAUUUCUGAUUAAGACGGUAAAUGAACAGUUAUUUAUGCUGAAUAAAGAUAUAGUAAAUAUAGUAAAUAUUGUUUUAAUUCAUGUAUUGCAAGUGGCUAUAUGUGCUAUUUCUGCCCCUGGGAAGUUAAACACAUUCUAACGUGGGGUUAAUUGGCAAACAUGGAUAAUAAACUCAUCAUAGAUACCAGGACUAAACUUUGUAUAUACGCCAGACGCGCGUUUCGUCUACAAAAGACUCAUCAGUGAUGCUCGAAUUCAAAAAAUUUAAAAAGGCCAAAUAAAGUACGAAGUUAAAGAGCAUUGAGGACCAAAAUUCCUAAAAGUUUUUGCCAAAUCUAGCUAAGGGAUUUGUGUUCUUUUAUAGUUUGGCCAAAAGCCCGAAAAUUAAGAAAUAAAAUUGAUGUGGCUUUAAAUUUUCUUACUAGAAAUACUUAUUCAAAGAAUGACUGCAACGUUGAGAAAAAAAAUAACGCAUAUUCCGCAAUAUUAGAAACAAACUAAUUAAAAAUUUCAUAAAUACUUGAUAUAUGAAAAGUAUGCUGCAUACAUAAUACAUUAUAUAGAUAUAGGAAGGUGUGGUGUGAGUGCCAAUGAGACAACUCUCCAUCCAAAUAACAAUUUAUAAAUUAACGUAAACCAUUAUAGGUCAAUGUAAAGCCUUCAACACGGAGCCUUGGCGCAUGGAAGAUAUUGUAGAGAAAAAUAUUGAAGGUAAUAAAGAAGGAGUAUUUUUGUACUUGCAUACUUGCCAUAUAAUUAGUACUUUUCUAUUAAAUGACAGCAGUAAUUAGCCUUACCUAAUUGUCAUGCAUUUUUCUGAAGCACAAAAUAUUUGUUUUAAAAUCUAUAAACAAGAUCCGACUGUGAUGAUCUACAUGGUAUGUCUUCUGAUGUAAUUUAUCAAUAUACAAAUUGGAGGCAAAACAUAUGACAUAUGGAAAUGUGGUAUGCUUUGUAUGUGACUUUCAUGUUGAUCAAUGAAUUGCAAGGAUUGCCCUUUUUGGAUAUGGGAAAUAGCUAAUCCACCCUCCCCCCCCCUCCCCAAAAAAAACAAACAAAGUUAAACGCGCAUCUACAAAUGCGAAAUUGAAAUUUUGAAAAAAACUAAAAAUAUCUACUAACCACAAUAACUGACUCUACAGCUGCUUCAUUUUCCAUAUCUUUUACAGGAACAUGUAUAUAUUAAAAGGUUAUUCGUAUUGUUGUAAGUUAUAAAUAGAGAUAUAUAAGUAAAUUUGUCCUAGAUGUUAACCUGUAAGUUUCUUCAUUUAUUUUUAUAUGCGUUAAUGUCAUCGUUAAACUGGAAAUUUGUAUUUUUAACACAUAAUACCAUUGAAAUGCUGAAAGACACAUUUAUUAUGUUUCAGUUACUAUUAUCCGGUAAAGAAAUUACGAUUAUCAAAGAAGAAAAAUGCCUUAGAGCUACGAUUUUUCUACGGCAAUUUUCAAAAAGCUUAGACAAUUCCAGUGCGUCGUUACAAUUCAAAUAUGAUGUAAUGGUAUAGAAAAACCUUGCAGCUGAGUAUCUAUUGAUAAAAACAUGCUACAUUUGAGAAAAAUGAGUGUGAAGAUUUUACCUAUAUCUGCCGUCGCCAUAUUGGGAUAGUCGUAAUUGCAGUUACGAUUAUCUCUUUAAUACCAGUGAUAAUACAUACUCAUUAUCGUAUGUACGGUUCACUCAACAACCAUGUGUUGAUUUAAACUAGAAAAACUAUAUUUGAUUGAGAAAAAUGAGUUAAAGUUUGAAUUGGAAAUUAUUGAUAAGAUUGACCAAAAAUUGAAAUUCUUCUGUUAUAUACACAUGGAUUAUAAAAAGGAUAAAUUACACAUGUUGCCAGACUUGAUCAAUUCCAAAAUUAAAUAUGUCGCUAAUGUUUUAGUUAAAAUCAAUUCAUUCCUACUCAUUUUGCUUGGUUUGCAGCCUGAAAAAUCUGGAUAGGAUACUGAAAAUUCUUCUUCGUUCUUUGUAUUAACUUUCGCAUUCUCCGAGUUUGAUUCUUAUUAUAUAAUUAGUCAGAUUGACCCGCCGAUAAAUCAUCACAUCACUCCCAGAACUACAUAGUUUCCUAUAAUAUAGAUCACAUUAUGCACGACGCUUGUUGCUUUAUCAAAUUAUGUAUGUAAUAAUGAUGUCCGUAUAUCUGAGGAUUAAUGACCUGCUUUGGAUUCUUUACUUUUUUAAAUGCUGAAAAUAAAGUAAAGGGUGGACAUUAUCAUUGCAAUCGUUUUUCAUUUAUUUGCACUUGGAGAAGAAUAAACUGUUUACUGUUCAUUUCCGAAUUAAACCUGGAAGAUACGAGGUUUUGUAGUAUCAUGGGACUAUUCUGUACAAAAAGUUUAAAAAACAAAUAUGUAGCCAAACUCAGACAUGAAAAUAUAGAUGUGAAGGAGGGAUAUGCAUUUCUCAGUUAAUUAAGAUAUUCAAAAAUUGCUACCAGCAAGUUCAAUUAAGAUAAUAUCAAUAAUUGUCCUGUUUUUUUUUUUAUUGUCAUGUGUUUGUUAGGUUUUUUUUUUUGCGAAAUUGUGAGCUUGAAUGGCCUUUCGAUAUCUGUUGGCGCUGUUAUUUAUAUAUACGGAAUGCAUAAUUUUUUAUAAGUUUUUUUAAUACAUAGACCAUCCUUCUGUAAGUCGUACCAUACAUUCAUGACAUUAUUGUGAUAAUAAAUGUUUUACACGCACCACGAAUGUAUUCUUUAUUUGUAUAUUUGAAGGUAUGCCCAGGUACUUGCACGUGGUAAAACAAAUUUAAAAUUUGAAUAUCUAACAUCUUAUAUUACGCUGGUUGAAGCUACACUAGAGUCAGCUCCACAAUUAACAGUACAGAUUUACCUAUUGAUCACUGACAGCCAUACAGACACUACUUACACAGGUAAUUCAUUAUUGUUUACUAAUGUAUAUAAUUAUCUGUAUGCAUGUUUUAUUUAUCAAUACACGGUUUAAGAACCGUUUAAUCUAUUAUUAAUGAAUACAAAUUAUUUCGGUUUCGGCAAUUUGAAAUACUAAGUCGGAUGAGACGUAGUUUAUCAUGUUUAUUAAAGCUAGAAAUGUAUUUGAAAAGGCUUAUUAUGUAAAUUAACAAACACGAUCAUCUUAACUUAUUGCAUUAUCAGAUUGUCAAAUUAUUGUUAAAAGUAAAAUAAAAAAAAUACUAAACUCCGAGAAAAAUUCAAAACGAAAGUCCGUAUUCAAAUGGAAAAGUAAAAAUUUAAAACACAUCAAACGAACGGAGAACAACUACCAUAUUCCUGACUAUGAAUAGCAAUGAAUGAUGAGAAUUCAACAGCAACCAGUGUAUAAAUGCCAUGACUGUUGUUAAUUUAUUUAUCUUAUUUUAACUGUUAAGUGAUUGAUCCAAAUUAAAUAAAAUAAUAUAAAACUAAAGCAAAAACGAAAAUGUCGGGUAUCGGUGUCUUUUUUUCAAGAACGAAAGAAGUGUAAAAAUGAAAUUUAUGAGAAAAAAAACUAAUUUUAGCAUUUUUAAAACUGGUCAUUUCACAUUUGAAAACUAGCAACUGUUACUGGCACCCCAUUUAUUAUUGAAUCUCAUUCAGUUGAUGACAACAUAUGAUAAUACAUGAUAAUUGAUCUCAUGUACCGUUUUUAUCGUUACAUAAUAGUCGUUUUUGUUGACAUGAUACAUCAUGCACUUAUAUACUUAUAUGAUAUAUAAAAAGUUAAAAUAAAAAAUGUUUGAUCUAAUCUCCGAGAAAACGUAAAACGGUAAAAGACAAAGAGACAGAGGGUAUUAUCACAAUUUCAUCUACUGAAACAUAUACAUGUAUACAUGAAUACAUAAAUACCGAAAUAUACUGAUAAACUAAAAUAAAUGCAUGAGUUAUAAUAUAUCAACACAUCGUGUAUCUGCUUUUAUUUGAGUUUUACUUUCUGUUAUAGGAAUGAUUCGUUCUCUAAGCAUAAUUGCAUCUUCUCUUGGGCUUGCAUGGUCAUUAAAUGCAUUUAAACAUCAAAAUCGAAAGAAAAACCACAACAAAGAGGACGGCUUUUGUGUAAAAUUUAUUCACUGGAUAUCACGAUUUGCCGAGAUUGUGCCACGCAUUAUUUUAAUUGCACUCUGUACUGCUGAAUACAGCGUAUAUGUUUUAAUUUUCAUAUUUUAUCGUAUUUUAUGUGGAAUCAUGUACAGCAUUUGUGAAAGAUUGACUAUUGGUAAAAGCUUUCGCUUCUUAGAGGAACCUGAUUUGAUAUUGGGAAUAGUAGGCAACAUAUUUUGCUAUUCUGUAUCAAAAAUUUAUCAAUGCCAAAAGAAAGAACAAUGUGGGGGGAAAUUCUUCGUAGGUUAUUACAUUAUAUAUUAUAUAGAAAAUGGCAUUAUGUUGUUCCUUUGGUAUAGCGAUGAUCCUGCUUUACUUCAAAUGAAGAUUGGAGGGGCAUGUUCAAACCAUGCAUGGUGGGCACCAGGUGUUAUAGUUGUUGUCAUUAUCCUAUGCGUUCUACAGCUGUUAUUUUUGUAUUUAUAUUAUCGUUUACGUGGGAAACAACACCAAUCGAUUGCUCAGAACAUGUCGUCAGGAACAUGCCACCAAUCUGCAUCACUUAAUUCGGACUCUUGCACUAAUUACGGACAAUUCGAUAACAAUGGUUUUCAAGAUGAACGGCAGACAUACAAUUUUCAAGAUGGCCAAGUGGCCAGUCCUUAUGAUAUUGAUAGUCAAUAUGCACAUGACUCACAAAUGCAGCCAUAUCGUGGAUAUGAGAGAAAUAAUCAACCUAUAUAUCGAUAUCCAAGGGAAGAGCUACAUGUUACGCAGUCAUAUGAGUCGGAUGUCAAUAACAUAUGGAAUAUUGAACCGUAUCCAAAUGUAUCGCAAAAUUCUCAGCAAAUUCAACAAUAUAAUAUGAAUCCGUUGCAACAGUGGAAUGAUUACCAUUCCCAAAGUGAAUGGUAUGAAAGCAACAUGAGCAAUCGGCAAACACAUUUUGCUUCUACAUUUCACAAUCAAACAUUUGUAGGAAACGUUAGUUCCUCGUAUCAAUCAUCCAUGCAAUCGAUGACUCAAGGUGCCGUGUUUACUGGUACACAAUAUAACAAUCAAGGAGAAUACAGGUUUAGUGGAUAUUAAUAUGUAUAAUAGAAGCACAAAGGUGCCUGCUGGUUAAUAGUUUACGCUUACAAGAAAUGAAAAUGUUAUGUAAGGAAAUGAAAAUAUAUACACAUAUUCAUUUAAAUAUGUAUCCAAUGUACGAUUUCAUUCCUUUGCGAAGAUUUUUUUUCUGAAUGUUUGCUUUCAAAUAAUAACAUACUACAUAACAUUCUUUGAACUGUUUGUAACCUUGUGUUUUUUGCCGCUGUUGUAAUCAAACAAUAGAAACUAAUAACAUGUAUACUGCAAUUUGAUGUCUUUCUACUACAGAUAUCGUUUUAAAGCUCCGCCCACUGCCGGCCUUCGUUUAUGUAUUGCUGUUGACGAGUGUAAUAUGAACAUGUACAACCUCAGAAUAUGUAUUGCAGUCCUAUUUCGAUGUCGUAUUGUUUGACGUUACGCGAACUAACGAUUACCCUUUAUACGUUCUGUUUGUUUUCAAACAUUUCUUUAGAGCAAUAAGAAUAAAAUCAAUUUUCUAAUAAAAGUCAAAAAUGAACAGCAGCAUUUUGUACGACGACAAUCAUCCAUUUUAAAACUUUAAUGUAUUCUCG
Molecule: long non-coding RNA, 11960 nt
Filed under: Mytilus galloprovincialis (Mediterranean mussel)
Lineage: Eukaryota; Metazoa; Mollusca; Bivalvia; Mytilida; Mytilidae
Source: RNAcentral